CGUGCCUGGGGAUCUUGUUAAAAGGCAGACUCUGAUUCUGUAGUUAUGGGUAGGAGAUUCUACAUUUCUAACAAGCUCCCAAGUGAAGCCAG
Molecule: microRNA precursor, 92 nt
Organism: Ovis aries (sheep)
Lineage: Eukaryota; Metazoa; Chordata; Mammalia; Artiodactyla; Bovidae
Rfam family: mir-544 microRNA precursor family
Source: Rfam